UACAGAGGGUGCAAGCGUUAUUCGGAAUUACUGGGCGUAAAGAGCGUGUAGGCUGUUUAUUAAGUCUGGUGUGAAAUCCCUGGGCCCAAUCCAGGAAGUGCAUUGGAUACUGAUAGACUUGAGUGCAGGAGAGGUAAGCGGAAUUCCAGGUGUAGAGGUGAAAUUCGUAGAUAUCUGGAGGAACAACAGUGGCGAAGGCGGCUUACUGGACUGCAACUGACGCUAAGGCGCGAAAGCGUGGGGAGCAAACAGG
Molecule: ribosomal RNA, 253 nt
Filed under: uncultured bacterium
Lineage: Bacteria
Description: partial 16S ribosomal RNA
Rfam family: Bacterial small subunit ribosomal RNA
Source: RNAcentral